GAAUAGCCUACAAUGUGAUUUUACCCCUGGUGGGGUUCCCGAGCGAAGCGAGAGAACGUUGCCGCAGGCAACGGCCCGAAGGGCGAGGCGCCUUAGCGGCGAGUAAUCCUUCCCCCACCACCA
RNAcentral lists this small RNA (123 nucleotides) under Klebsiella pneumoniae. Its description in RNAcentral is "RtT RNA". It matches the Rfam family "RtT RNA". Rfam says of the family: This family represents a bacterial cis-regulatory element known as RtT RNA. The exact function of RtT is unknown although it is thought that it may be involved in changing the cellular response in relation to amino acid starvation. Lineage: Bacteria; Pseudomonadati; Pseudomonadota; Gammaproteobacteria; Enterobacterales; Enterobacteriaceae. The record is from RNAcentral.